RNAcentral lists this ribosomal RNA (508 nucleotides) under uncultured bacterium. RNAcentral's name for it is "partial 16S ribosomal RNA". It matches the Rfam family "Bacterial small subunit ribosomal RNA", at positions 28 to 507 of the family's 1533-position model. The record is from RNAcentral.
GACGAACGCUGGCGGCGUGCUUAACACAUGCCAGUCGAACGGGCCUUGUCCCCUUUUUUUUUGGGGGUGGGGUUAGUGGCGAACGGGUGAGUAACACGUGAGUAACCUGCCCCUCACUUCUGGAUAACCGCUUGAAAGGGUGGCUAAUACGGGGUGUUCUGGCCUGCUCGCAUGGGUGGGUUUGGAAAGAUUCGACCGGUUUUGGUUGUUUUGGUGGGGGAUGGGCUCGCGGCCUAUCAGCUUGUUGGUGGGGUGAUGGCCUGCCAAGGCUUUGACGGGUAGCCGUGCUGAGAGGGUGGGCGGUCACACUGGGACUGAGACACGGCCCAGACUCCUACGGGAGGCAGCAGUGGGGAAUAUUGCACAAGGGGCGCAAGCCUGAUGCAGCGACGCCGCGUGAGGGAUGGAGGCCUUCGGGUUGUGAACCUCUUUCGCCAGUGAAGAAGGUCCUGCUCUUUGUGGUGGGGUUGACGGUAGCUGGGUUAAUGAAGCGCCGGCUAACUACGUG